Molecule: unclassified non-coding RNA, 703 nt
Filed under: Hevea brasiliensis (rubber tree)
Lineage: Eukaryota; Viridiplantae; Streptophyta; Magnoliopsida; Malpighiales; Euphorbiaceae
Source: RNAcentral
AUUUAUUUAAUAACAUAAAUGUAUAGGAGUAAUUAGUGAAACCAGUCUCAAGUAAUAAACAUUUUUGUGCUUAAUUAAAAAAAAUUAAUUCACCUAUUUAAAAUUAUCAUUGAACCAGGAUAAAAUAACUUCAAAAGUGUAUGCACGUCUUAUUCAUCAUCUUCUUUAACACGGUUACAUUGAGAAGCCCAAAAAAUAUUCUUUGCUAGAACUGGAGAGUAAGCAUAAGAAUAUAUGAUAACCAUAAACUAUCUAUAAUGAACAAGCACUCCAACAAUUAAUGGGGCAAAUAACUUGUCAAGUUGAACUUAAGAUCGGAUGUGAGAAACUAUCUCACUACUUCCAUUAAGAGUCCAGGUAAUGAGUUAAGAAUAUUAAAAGAUGCAAUAGAUAGACUUAUUGCUGCAAUACAUGAAACGAAUUAAUGCUCAGAGGAAUUUAAUUUCAUGGCCAACAGGAACUCUGUUUCCUCAAGGUUAAAAAAUGACCAACACCAACAAAACUUCUUUAGUGGCAUUACCGCAUUAGGUGUCCACUAAAAUAAAAAAUCACUACCACUUCCAAUGGCUGGAUCCCUGAUCCCAAGCUAGAUCCAGUUUCUGAUCUGACUAGCCAGUACAGGCCAAGGCCAGCCGAACUGGCUCUCAGCAUUGAAUAUGCAUCAUCUUAAAUAAGCUACAUCCCUAGUAAAAUUUUAAAAUUA